UGAGCAGGCUGUUUGCUGGUCCCUUUCCAAGGGACAUGUGCACGCUUGUCGUCUUUAUUUUUCCAACUGUGCACAUACUGUAGACCUGGAGUUUUUCUUAUUGUUCAAAUAGAUUGAGGACUGCCGUGUGCGGCUUUGCCUUGUAUUUUCCAGGUCUAUGUUGUAAUACAUUUUCACAACCUGUUUCAGAAUGUCGAGUACUGGGGAUAACAAAUAUACAACUUUCAGCAACGGAUCUCUUGGCUCUCGCAUCGAUGAAGAACGCAGCGAAAUGCGAUAAGUAAUGUGAAUUGCAGAAUUCAGUGAAUCAUCGAAUCUUUGAACGCAUCUUGCGCUCCUUGGUAUUCCGAGGAGCAUGCCUGUUCGAGUGUCAUCAAAAGUUCUCAACCACACCGGUUCUUCUGGUGUGGCUUGGAUUUGGGGGUUUUUUUUUGCAGGCUUUGAAACAUGAAGUCGGCUCCCCUGAAAAGGAUUAGCGGUAUCUGANCANAAACUACUGUCGGGCGUGAUAAAUAUCUAUGCCUCAGUGUGCAUGAACGAACCGCUUCUAACCNAAUGUUGACAAAUUUGACCUCGAAUCAGGUAGGACUACCCGCUGAACUUAAGCAUAU
This 611-nucleotide ribosomal RNA is filed under the name uncultured Inocybe. Its description in RNAcentral is "eukaryotic LSU rRNA". The stretch from base 220 to 373 matches the Rfam family "5.8S ribosomal RNA". The record is from RNAcentral. Lineage: Eukaryota; Fungi; Basidiomycota; Agaricomycetes; Agaricales; Cortinariaceae.